CAGAGGGUGCGAGCGUUGUUCGGAAUUACUGGGCGUAAAGCGCGCGCAGGCGGCCUUUUAAGUCUGACGGUGAAAUGCCGGGGCUCAACCCCGUGCCCGCCGGAGAUACUGGGAGGCUGGAGACGAGUAGAGGCAAGCGGAAUUCCGGGUGUAGCGGUGGAAUGCGUAGAGAUCCGGAAGAACACCGGAGGCGAAGGCGGCUUGCUGGGCUCGGUCUGACGCUGAGGCGCGAAAGCGUGGGGAGCGAACAGGAUUAGAUACCCUGGUAGUCCACGCCGUAAACGAUGGGCACUAGACGCGGGUGGGAUCGACCCCUUCCGUGUCGCAGCUAACGCGAUAAGUGCCCCGCCUGGGGAGUACGGCCGCAAGGCUG
Molecule: ribosomal RNA, 373 nt
Filed under: uncultured organism
Description: bacterial SSU rRNA
Rfam family: Bacterial small subunit ribosomal RNA
Source: RNAcentral